RNAcentral lists this ribosomal RNA (523 nucleotides) under uncultured bacterium. Its description in RNAcentral is "bacterial SSU rRNA". It matches the Rfam family "Bacterial small subunit ribosomal RNA", at positions 15 to 518 of the family's 1533-position model. The record is from RNAcentral.
GAUCCUGGCUCAGAACGAACGCUGGUAGCGUGGAUUAGGCAUGCAAGUCGAACGGGAUCGGGGAGGUAGCAAUAUCGCCCCGUGAGAGUGGCGGAAGGGCGAGGAACACGUGGGCAACCUGUCCUUGAGGUGGGGAAAACCUCUGGAAACGGAGGCUAAUACCGAAUGUGGCGCCGGGAGGCAUCUUCCGGACGCUAAAGGGGGCCGAAAGGCUCUCCCUCUUCGAGGGGCUCGCGCACCAUCAGCUUGUUGGCGGGUAACGGCCCACCAAGGCUCACGGUUAGCUGGUCUGAGAGGAUGGCCAGCCGCACUGGGACUGAGAUACUGCCCAGACUCCUACGGGAGGCUGCAGUCGAGGAUCAUUCGCAAUGGGGGAAACCCUGACGAUGCGACGCUGCGUGGAGGAUGAAGGCCUUCGGGUCGUAAACUCCUGUCAUGACGGAAAAGGAGAGGGGUGCCAACACCACCCUUAUUUGAUGGUACGUCAAGAGGAAGAGACGGCUAACUCUGUGCCAGCAGCGGC